GUUACUUGAUGAUACAUUAAACUAAUUCAAUUGAGCAACAAUUAAGUAAAAUAGCAUUCCUUCAUUUAGAAACUGCGGUUUCAUCUGCAUUUCAUCUUAUCAUCCCUGGCUGAAGAACCACCAUAUUUGUAUUGGUAACUGGAUGUGAAGGUGUAAUAUUAGCUUUCCCUUUUCUUGUGCAGGCGAGAAGAAUGAGCUUCGUGAUGAGAAGCAGAGGCUCAAGGCGGACAUAGAGAAGUUGGUGCGCAGUUACUUCAAGAAAUAGGAAUAUAUUCCAGGUAAAAUAAAACUUGGCCACAGAAAUCACUCAACAGCAUUGCUCACGAAGAAUUUAUCUGAUGAUUGUUAUGCCUUAAGCAUCACCAUUAUGAAGCUGAAUCCCAUUAGGAUGUUGACAAGAAAACUCCCUUUGACCUUUGUGAGCUGAUGAGGAUGGUGGUUCAGUUGAAGAUCCAGUCGAAGAGGUUCAAGUGGAUUCGGUUGAAGGAAUAAUAGAUGAUGAUGCAGAACUACCCAAAGGCGACUCAAAUGGCGAUGAAGGGAGCAUUGUAUUUGUAGGAGUGGACUCUGGCGCUUGUGUUGGUGAGGAAGCCGAAGUACUUUCUGGAGUUGGAGUAGGAUUAUAGGAACCAGAGGGUGUCACCGAAGAAGCUGGUGGUUUUGCUUAAUUGUGUCUUCCACUUAAUAGCCUACUUGUAAACUUUCGUCUUGUAUUUUAUUUAGUUUUCUUCACUUAUUGUAACGAGCUCUUAGCUUCUUUGGUUAUAAAUAUAAGAACAACUAAUUGUUUUGGUUAAUGCAACCAAAACAGAGUUUCUCCACAA
Molecule: non-coding RNA, 824 nt
Organism: Corylus avellana
Lineage: Eukaryota; Viridiplantae; Streptophyta; Magnoliopsida; Fagales; Betulaceae
Source: RefSeq, a predicted model, not a curated record